UAUGAAAGUUAAGGGGCAGUCUGAUGUCUACUCUACUGCAAAAAACUACUAAGACCAGCAUAAGCUGGUUUUAGCUGGUCUCCCAGCUUAGUUUUAGCUGGUAUUGCUGGUGUAGCAAGCUGUGUUUUGGUCACCUUGACCAGCUGACCCACCAGCUUGUAGGUUUGCCAGGCUGGGAGGACCAGCUUAAACCACCUUAAACCAGCUACCAGCUUAUGCUGGUCUUAGCUGGAUUUUCCGGUAGGGAAUAUCAAAAUUAGCUAACUUAAUUCAAUUGAUUUUGUCGUGUAUAAGUUAAUCCUGCAGCAAGAUACAGGGAAAUGCAAGAUUUUCAGUAGUGAUAUACCUAUAUUACACUAGCUCGCAACUAAGUUAUUAUGUUGACUUGUAUUUUCUGUUUAUGUCCUUCAAAUUUGCAAGCUUCAAACUCUUUAUACCCCCACCACCACAAACAAACCAAAAACAAAGGCACUUUUAAUAGUCACAUGCGUUUUGUUAAACUGUACUUGUCAGUCUCACUGUAGCACUUUCUGUUUACAUUUAUAUUUGUUUUAUCUGUUGUUCUCUUUGUUGUGAGUCUUUCUGUCUGUUUGUGUUUCUGCCCAUCAACAUGUCCAUCCAUUCAGAGCUCCAAUAUCAUCUCAUGAUCUUGGAUAACUUGGUUGAUGGUCAAGAACUGAAGGAUGAGCUCCAAAGUCCUGAUGACUCUCUUGGUGAGCUGCAAGAAGAGGAAGCAGCAGCGCCAGUGAAGACACCUGAGCCGAGGGUGCAUUAGAGAAAAGAGACAUUGAUGGGAAAUAUUGUCUAUGCAAGGUCAAGCAGUAAUCAACCAAGGAAAGAUCACAUUCGGAACACUGAUCCUCCCAAUGUUCUUGACACUCAUUGUGAGUGUUUUCUACAAGAUCACUGAACAAUUUCUCAGAGGCAUCACCUCCUGGAACCCCUAGAGAUCCUCUUCUUGCUUCCUCAAACUGGAGCACACGUCAAAGUCUCUUUUCAGAGAGGUGGAGGGCAUAGAGACCCCGUCUGCUGAACACGGCUGUGGCACAAGAAAAUGUUUGUGGGAGAAGUCCCGCUGUUAUCCAGUGUUGUGACUGUUGACCUCGCCCCUUCUUCUGUGCUGAAUGUGACGUCAUCAUGCACACCAGACAUGUCCUCCAUUGCAUAGAU
Molecule: non-coding RNA, 1170 nt
Organism: Paramisgurnus dabryanus
Lineage: Eukaryota; Metazoa; Chordata; Actinopteri; Cypriniformes; Cobitidae
Source: RefSeq, a predicted model, not a curated record